CAAGGAAUUUUCCGCAAUGGGGGCAACCCUGACGGAGCAACGCCGCGUGACGGAUGACGCCUCUUGGGGUGUAAACGUCUUUUGCCGGGGGAGAGAACGGACGGUACCCGGCGAAUCAGGACCGGCUAACUACGUGCCAGCAGCCGCGGUAAUACGUAGGGUCCGAGCGUUGUCCGGAAUUACUGGGCGUAAAGCGCGCGCAGGCGGCCCGCGAGGUGUCACGUGAAAGCCCCGGGCUCAACCCGGGAGGGUCGUGGCAAACCGGCGGGCUUGAGGCCGGUAGAGGUGGGUGGAACUCCUGGUGGAGUGGUGGAAUGCGUAGAGAUCAGGAAGAACACCCGUGGCGAAGGCGGCCCACUGGGCCGGUGCUGACGCUGAGGCGCGAAGGCGUGGGGAGCGAAC
This 402-nucleotide ribosomal RNA is filed under the name uncultured bacterium. RNAcentral describes it as "bacterial SSU rRNA". It matches the Rfam family "Bacterial small subunit ribosomal RNA", at positions 355 to 773 of the family's 1533-position model. The record is from RNAcentral.